UAGAGAUAGCUGGUUAUUUAGGAAAAGGAUUUUAGUCCAAUUUUAACUCUUUAUAUAACAUCAAAUAUACCCGCAGAUUUAAAAUUCAUUCAAAUAAGGUACAGCCUAUUUGAAAUAGGAUACAACCUUCCAUAGUGGGUAAUGCUCUAAUAAAAGUGACCAAGUUGGCCUAAGAGCAGCCACCUUUUAAAAAGCGUUAAAGCCUCAUCACACUUAAUUUUAAAUACCAAUAUAAACCCAAAACCCCUCAAUUCUACUAAAUGACUUCAUACUCAUAUGAAAAUCCUUAUGUUAGAACUAGUAACAAGAAUUAUUAUUCUCCCAAAAANGUAAGUGUAAGUCGAAAUGGACUACCCGCCGACACUCACCGUCAAUGAACCCACAGUAAUAACUCCUUCAAGAAAAACUUACUUUUUUCCCAACGUUAACCUUACACAAGAACUUUUCUGGAAAGAUUAAAAAAAGAGGAAGGAACUCGGCAAACAUUAACCCCGCCUGUUUACCAA
RNAcentral lists this ribosomal RNA (506 nucleotides) under Hylophorbus tetraphonus. RNAcentral's name for it is "partial 16S ribosomal RNA". Lineage: Eukaryota; Metazoa; Chordata; Amphibia; Anura; Microhylidae. The record is from RNAcentral.